RNAcentral lists this ribosomal RNA (799 nucleotides) under Colwellia sp. SJ1793. RNAcentral describes it as "bacterial SSU rRNA". It matches the Rfam family "Bacterial small subunit ribosomal RNA", at positions 56 to 846 of the family's 1533-position model. The record is from RNAcentral. Lineage: Bacteria; Pseudomonadati; Pseudomonadota; Gammaproteobacteria; Alteromonadales; Colwelliaceae.
UGCAGUCGAGCGGAACGAGAAUAGCUUGCUAUUCGGCGUCGAGCGGCGGACGGGUGANUAAUGCUUGGGAAUAUGCCUUUGAGUGGGGGACAACAGUUGGAAACGACUGCUAAUACCGCAUAACGUCUACGGACCAAAGGGGGGGACGCUUCGGCACCUCUCGCUCAUUGAUUAGCCCAAGUGAGAUUAGCUAGUUGGUAAGGUAAUGGCUUACCAAGGCGACGAUCUCUAGCUGGUUUGAGAGGAUGAUCAGCCACACUGGGACUGAGACACGGCCCAGACUCCUACGGGAGGCAGCAGUGGGGAAUAUUGCACAAUGGGCGAAAGCCUGAUGCAGCCAUGCCGCGUGUGUGAAGAAGGCCUUCGGGUUGUAAAGCACUUUCAGCGAGGAGGAAAGGUUAGUAGUUAAUAACUGCUAGCUGUGACGUUACUCGCAGAAGAAGCACCGGCUAACUUCGUGCCAGCAGCCGCGGUAAUACGAGGGGUGCAAGCGUUAAUCGGAAUUACUGGGCGUAAAGCGUGCGUANGUGGUUUGUUAAGCAAGAUGUGAAAGCCCUGGGCUCAACCUGGGAACUGCAUUUUGAACUGGCAAGCUAGAGUUUUGUAGAGGGUAGUGGAAUUUCCAGUGUAGCGGUGAAAUGCGUAGAGAUUGGAAGGAACAUCAGUGGCGAAGGCGGCUACCUGGACAAAGACUGACACUGAGGCACGAAAGNGUGGGGAGCAAACAGGAUUAGAUACCCUGGUAGUCCACGCCGUAAACGAUGUCAACUAGCCGUCUGUAGACUUGAUCUGUGGGUGG